GAUCUUCCUUGGAUCGAAAUAUUCAUGAUCUUUCUUGGAUCAAAGUGGCCAUGAUCUUUCUCGGAUCAAAUCAUUCAUGAUCUUUCUCGGAUCAGAUUCUUCAUGAUCUUUCUCGGAUCAUAUUCUUCCACACAUAAGCCUGUGGGGGUUGUCCCAGGCAUAAACUCCUGGCAAGCUAUUCCACAUGACAAGGCCAGUCCAAACCAUAUUUCUCUUUCUUUUCAUUUUCAUGAAAUUAU
RNAcentral lists this long non-coding RNA (239 nucleotides) under Elaeis guineensis (African oil palm). RNAcentral's name for it is "long non-coding RNA (EGUI_LNC012556)". The record is from RNAcentral. Lineage: Eukaryota; Viridiplantae; Streptophyta; Magnoliopsida; Arecales; Arecaceae.